AAUGAACGCUAUCGGUAUGCUUAACACAUGCAAGUCGGACGGACUAAUUAGGGCUUGCUCCAAUUAGUUAGUGGCAGACGGGUGAGUAACACGUGGGAAUCUGCCCAUCAGUACGGAAUAACUUUUAGAAAUAAAAGCUAAUACCGUAUAUUCUCUACAGAGGAAAGAUUUAUCGCUGAUGGAUGAGCCCGCGUCAGAUUAGGUAGUUGGUGAGGUAACGGCUCACCAAGCCGACGAUCUGUAGCUGGUCUGAGAGGAUGAUCAGCCACACUGGGACUGAGACACGGCCCAGACUCCUACGGGAGGCAGCAGUGGGGAAUAUUGGACAAUGGGCGAAAGCCUGAUCCAGCAAUACCGAGUGAGUGAUAAAGGCCCUAGGGUUGUAAAGCUCUUUUAGCAAGGAAGAUAAUGACGUUACUUGCAGAAAAAGCCCCGGCUAACUCCGU
This 446-nucleotide ribosomal RNA is filed under the name uncultured bacterium. RNAcentral's name for it is "partial 16S ribosomal RNA". It matches the Rfam family "Bacterial small subunit ribosomal RNA", at positions 29 to 506 of the family's 1533-position model. The record is from RNAcentral.